RNAcentral lists this transfer RNA (84 nucleotides) under Bacteroidota bacterium. RNAcentral describes it as "Bacteroidetes bacterium (marine metagenome) tRNA-Leu". It matches the Rfam family "tRNA". Rfam says of the family: Transfer RNA (tRNA) molecules are approximately 80 nucleotides in length. The record is from RNAcentral. RNAcentral also lists the same sequence under 1 other name. Lineage: Bacteria; Pseudomonadati; Bacteroidota.
GCCGGAGUGGUGGAAUUGGUAGACGCGCUGGUUUCAGGGACCAGUGUCCUUUGGGAUGUGCGGGUUCGAAUCCCGCCUCCGGCA